Molecule: unclassified non-coding RNA, 379 nt
Filed under: uncultured Alphaproteobacteria bacterium
Lineage: Bacteria; Pseudomonadati; Pseudomonadota; Alphaproteobacteria
Description: contains 16S-23S intergenic spacer region
Source: RNAcentral
UCCAGCUUAUCACCGGCAGUCUCCCUAGAGUGCCCAACUAAAUGAUGGCAACUAAGGACGAGGGUUGCGCUCGUUGCGGGACUUAACCCAACAUCUCACGACACGAGCUGACGACAGCCAUGCAGCACCUGUGUUCUAGCCAGCCGAACUGAAGAUCCUAAUCUCUUAAGACCAUACUAGACAUGUCAAGGGUUGGUAAGGUUCUGCGCGUUGCGUCGAAUUAAACCACAUGCUCCACCGCUUGUGCGGGCCCCCGUCAAUUCCCUUGAGUUUCAACCUUGCGGCCGUACUCCCCAGGCGGGGUGCUUAACGCGUUAGCUGCGACACUGACGAGCAAGCUCGCCAACGUCUAGCACCCAUCGUUUACGGCGUGGACUAC